UGCGUAGGCGGAACUUUAAGUCAGUGGUGAAAUCCUGCGGCUCAACCGUAGAACUGCCAUUGAUACUGAUGUUCUUGAAUGUAGUUGAGGUAGGCGGAAUGUGUAAUGUAGCGGUGAAAUGCUUAGAUAUUACACAGAACACCGAUUGCGAAGGCAGCUUGCUAAACUAUGAUUGACGCUGAUGCACGAAAGCGUGGGGAGCGAACAGGAUUAGAUACCCUGGUAGUCC
RNAcentral lists this ribosomal RNA (229 nucleotides) under uncultured bacterium. RNAcentral describes it as "partial 16S ribosomal RNA". It matches the Rfam family "Bacterial small subunit ribosomal RNA", at positions 568 to 796 of the family's 1533-position model. The record is from RNAcentral.